Long non-coding RNA from Biomphalaria glabrata, 4898 nucleotides. RefSeq lists it as uncharacterized. The record is from RefSeq and is a predicted model, not a curated record. The transcript is spliced from 2 exons. NCBI's taxonomy places the organism in Eukaryota, Metazoa, Mollusca, Gastropoda, Planorbidae.
AGCAUGAUGAAGAUGUAGACCAACAUGAUGAAGAUGUAGACCAACAUGAAGAAGAUGUAGACCAGCAUGAUGAAGAUGUAGAGCAACAUGAAGAUGUAGACCAGCAUGAUGAAGAUGUAGACCAACAUGAAGAUGUAGGCUGACAUGAUGAAGAAUGAAGACCAACAUGAAGAUGUAGACCAACAAGAAGAUGUAGACCAACAUCAAGAUGUAGACCAACAUAAAGAUGUAAACCAACAUGAUGAAGAUGUAGACCAACAUGAAGAAUGAAGACCAACAUGAAGAAUGAAGACCAACAUGAUGAAGAUGUAGACCAACAUGAAGAUGUAGACCAACAUGAAGAUGUAGACCAACAUGAUGAAGAUGUAGACCAACAUGAUGAAGAUGUAGACCAACAUGAAGAUGUAGACCAACAUAAAGAUGUAGACCAACAUGAAGAUGUAGACCAACAUGAAGAUGUAGACCAACAUAAAGAUGUAGACCAACAUGAAGAUGUAGACCAACAUGAUGAAGAUGUAGACCAACAUGAUGAAGAUGUAGACCAACAUGAAGAUGUAGACCGACAUGAAGAAUGAAGACCAACAUGAAGAAUGAAGACCAACAUGAAGAUGUAGACCAACAUGAAGAAUGAAGACCAACAUGAAGAAUGAAGACCAACAUGAAGAUGUAGGCUGACAUGAAGAUGUAGACCAACAUGAAGAAUGAAGACCAACAUGAAGAUGUAGACCAACAUGAAGAUGUAGACCAACAUGAAGAUGUAGACCAACAUGAUGAAGAUGUAGACCAACAUGAUGAAGAUGUAGACCAACAUGAAGAUGUAGACCAGCAUGAUGAAGAUGUAGACCAACAUGAUGAAGAUGUAGACCAACAUGAAGAUGUAGACCAACAUGAAGAAUGAAGACCAACAUGAAGAUGUAGACCAAUUUGAAGAUGUAGACCAAUUUGAAGAUGUAGACCAACAUGAAGAUGUAGACCAACAUGAAGAAUGAAGACCAACAUGAAGAAUGUAGACCAACAUGAAGAUGUAGACCAACAUGAAGAUGUAGACCAACCUGAUGAAGAUGUAGACCAACAUGAUGAAGAUGUAGACCAACAUGAAAAUGUAGACCAGCAUGAUGAAGAUGUAGACCAACAUGAAGAUGAAAUGUAAACCAAAAUAUUUAUCAAGAGAUGUAUGGAAUAAAAAGUGAACAUCUUGAGAGGGAAAACAAUUCCUAGAGGCAAAGACACAGACACAUUAGAUACAUUAGAGAUUGUUUCCUUUUCUACCAUCAUUUAGAGCCUUUUUUGUGAGGGAACCUGCAUCUGUAAAGAAAUGAACAUUUCCCUAAUGCUACUUCAAAUUCAGAUCUCCUCCCAACCUCAGGCUGAGUACCUGUGUUCACCUACUUUAUGUUACAUUACCAUAGCACUACAGACAGUGGAAAACAAAUUAUAUGAAGGAAUUCAACCACCAUCAGAUAUUGUUGUCUUUACAGACUCCCAAUCUACUCUGCUAGAACUUAACAGCAGCACCUCAAACAGCCCAAGAGAGUUGACAACACUCAUUGUGAUAAUCCAUCAGAUGAUAUCAAAAUUAAAUAUCAAUAUCACACUACAGUGGAUCCCUGGACACAUUGUCAUCAUGGGAAAUGAAAAGGCAGAUAGGCUAUCAAAGGCAGGUUCAUCUAUGGAACAACCAGAUAGACCUGUUAACUACCUCACCCUAAGGUCAAUGUUAGUCAACAAUCACAAAGAGGAGUGGCUCAACCAAUGGGCAUCAGGAAACACAGGCAGAGCCAUGUACAAAGAAAUGACUACGCCUAACAAACUGGACAGUAUUAACUUCCUCCCCUGCAAAGAACAUUCUACAACCUUCCAACUAAGAACAGGACACACUCCACUAUUAAUUACCACCUGAACAAAAUAAACUCCACACAACUCCUCUUUUGCAGACACUGCGCCCACCCCUUUGAAGCCGUAAACCAUAUCCUCUUUGAAUGCCCCUCCCUAAUCCACCUUAGGCAGACCCUACUUCCACUACAGCCCAACAUAACCAACACCCUGUACGGCAAUGCUGAACAACUGAAGAAAACAGCACACUUUUUUCCUUGGCACAGUCUGCAAAAGAGCUUACAGCUCAGCAGCAAUAAAGCUGGCUAGAGGAAGAAGAAGAAAAAGAGGUUACAUUACAAGAAGUGGUCGCAAAGUCAGAAAACCUAACAGAUGACAAUGAAUAGAACAAUCAUUUCUAAUAUAGGUACAAGUGAUGUACUUUGUAAUAACUAUUUGGGUGGAAUCACUAUAAUUGACUUGUAUCUUCUAUAUUAUAAAGUAGAAUGUGAGGGGUAUGUAUGUAUGUAUGUUACUUAUAGACAUCAAAACCGCUUGACCAAUCUUGAUAAAACUAGGCAGGAAUGUUCCUUGGGUACCAACUUAGACCGUAGUGUAUGUAUUGUAGCCCUAAAACAAACUUAAGACCCUCAAAAAAAAAUAAAGUUGUCCGACUCUAUUACAGCUAUAGUAUUUUAUGGAUCUAGGCCAUGUCUACAAUGUUGACAUGAGAAAAGAUAGAAAGGAUUUAGACCUAGAUCUAAUUUUAAGAAAUACACUUUGCGCAGAUAGUUUUUUACUUUGACACAUGAAAAGACAAAAGAAGAUCCAUUGAUUUCAUUAUAUAAUAAAAUUAACCUUCAAUUUUGUGUUUCAAAAGCAUUUUUUACAUUAAUUAGUUCCUUAUAUCUGUGGCUACAGAUUCCUGACGAACAUUCUUUCAUUAGACAAUACCGUAAUGAAUCGCGUACUAAAAAUUAAUUCGUUUAAUUGUUUACUUUAUAAUCCCAUCCCUAGAUCUAAAACUCUAAUUCAACUCUAAGAUGAUAAAACUUCUCUUCGCACAGAUAGUUUUAUACUUUAACACAUAAACAUAUUAAUUAAAGUCCAUUCAUUUCAUAUUUUGAUCAAAUAAACAUUCAAAUUUGGUUUUCUAAAGCUACAUUCGUUUACGACAGCUGCGAAGCCAAGUUGAGAUAGGCCUAGAUCUAUAUUCAUUCAUGAAUCGCGUACUAAAAAUUAUUUCGUUUAAUUGUUCACUUUAUAGUUUAUAAUACCAUCCCUAGAUCUAAAACUCUAAUCCAACUCUAAGAUGAUAAAACUUCUCUUCGCACAGAUAGUUUUAUACUUUAACACAAAAUAUAUUAAUUAAAGUCCAUUCAUUUCAUAUUUUGAUCAAAUAAACAUUAAAAUUUGGUUUUCUAAAGCUACAUUCGCUUACGAAAGCUGCGAAGCCGAGUUGAGAUAGGCCUAGAUCUAUAUUCAUUCAUGAAUCGCGUACUAAAAAUUAUUUCGUUUAAUUGUUCACUUUAUAAUCCCAUUUAUUUAACAAAGCUAUCGCUCUUUUCGUUUUUAAUAGAUAAGAAUGUAUCGACUUCGGGUAAACCAUUUUCGCAAAACUAAUUUUAUUUUCGUAGCGAAAGAGAAAUAACGUGAAAGGAUCAUUAGCUACGUUUAACAUACAUCUAAAUCCAAUCCACUAGAUUAUUCAAAAGCAAAUGUUUUAAUUUUAAAAAAUGGAUUUAAGCCUAUUAGCUAUUUUGAUUUGAUAGCUUCAUUCACAGUAUUUUUACAUUGACACAUUCGCUUUACUCAUUACAUUAUUAUUUCGUUUAAUUGUUUACAAAACACUCUCAGUGACUAUAUCGACAGUAAUGCGCAAAUAAAGACCCGCGGGUCGCGGGUAACAUAUGUCUAGUGUUCUAUAUUUAGGUAAAUCUUGUCAUUCAGUCCAGUCAUUGUUCUUUUUCAUAUUCCUUUUUUUCCCCUCAAUCUUCUUGUUGUUUCAGUGAAAUGUUUUUAUCUUUUUUGUUUUGGAGGAGGGAGUGGCUGUGGUAUAUUAUCAUUAUUAUUAUUGGAGUCACAACACCAAAGCCUUGCUACAUUAUGCUUUUAAUUCAAUUUAUUAUCUCCCCUGCUUUUGUGUGCUAUCAUAUUAAUGUUCAUUAGUGUCACAUCCAUGCACAAUUUGUUCUAUGCUUUUUAUAGUGUAAAUAGUGACUUGACAUUAUUUAGAUCAAUUAUAAUAUAUUAUAUUAUAUUUAACAUAAAACUGUUAACAUUUUCUAUGCUAUUAUUAAUAUGAAUGUUUUUUGUGUGUUGCUAUGAAUGCAUUUUAAGUUUUAGUCUGAAAUCAUAAAUAAGAAAUUGUUUCAUAAAUAAAGAUUAUAUUAAUAUUUAAUAUUGUCAGACUUCACUAUAGCAUUGAGUUCAUCCCCAUAAUCUAUUUAAAACUUUCAAAUACUAAUUCACUUUGUCUUAUCUAAUGGUGAUCAUGGGGGUAUCCACUAUCCAUAGUCUCUGGUAUGAACACUCACUGUCCUGGUUAGGGCUAGGAUGUAAUCUCUAUUUCUGAUGGAACACAUGUAAAACCAAGAAAACAAACAAUAGACCUAGACUUUAUUAACAGGUCAUGCAAGCAUUUUUUUAUAAUUGUGAACUGAUGCUCUCAGAGCUAUUUUUAUGUAUUUUUAUUUUUGCAACUUUUGUAGACUAGUGCUAAGCUGUAUGCUUAUACUUCCGUGUAUUAUUAUAUGGGUUAGGGCGAUGCUGUUUCCUGUACUGUUGACCAGAGUGGUGACAGUUUUAAUUAUUCUGUACUUGGAACUGCCUUUAAGUUUCAGAAUUUGUUGUUUUUUUUCUAUAUGUAAAGCUACUUUAUAUAUAUAGUUAUAUAUUAUGGUACAUUAUUUUUCUAAUUGAAACAAGUCAAAAUAAUUGGCGGUUUUUUGUUUUAAAGUUUGUUUUAAAAUGAUGGCCACUUCUAAUGUUUAUGUACUAGAUCUUUUCCUAAUUUUUUUGUUUUUUUAUCUGCAGUGUUUUGUAACUGCUGCUUUGCUCAUUUGAAUUAAAGUAUCAUUUUGUUA